This is a small nucleolar RNA of Sciurus vulgaris (Eurasian red squirrel), 132 nucleotides long. The record is from Ensembl. NCBI's taxonomy places the organism in Eukaryota, Metazoa, Chordata, Mammalia, Rodentia, Sciuridae.
UGCAUCAUCUCAGAAAAUUCUAUUGAUCCCAAAGAGACAAAGACUUAUAAACAGAUGCAAAAUAUAAAUCCUCUUUUGCAACCCAGAACUCAUUGUUCAGUAUGAGUUUUGAUAUAUAUAGGAAGGAAUAUU